CGGUGUGUACAAAGGGCAGGGACGUAAUCAAUGCAAGUUGAUGACUCGCAUUUACUUGGAAUUCCUCGUUCAUGAGAGAAAAUUUCAACACUCAAUUCCAGCCAUAAUAAUAUCUCAACUGUUUGCCAAGCCCUGUCGGGCGAGGACAAUCACGCUGUUACCAUCAUUGUAGCACGCGUGCGGCCCAGAACAUCUAAGGGCAUCACAG
RNAcentral lists this ribosomal RNA (208 nucleotides) under uncultured fungus. RNAcentral's name for it is "partial 18S rRNA". Lineage: Eukaryota; Fungi. The record is from RNAcentral.